UACGGAGGGUGCAAGCGUUGUUCGGAAUUAUUGGGCGUAAAGGGCGCGUAGGCGGUUAUGUAAGUCAGAUGUGAAAUACUUCGGCUUAACCGAAGAACUGCAUUUGAUACUACAUAGCUAGAGUACAGAAGAGGGAAAUGGAAUUCCCAGUGUAGAGGUGAAAUUCGUAGAUAUUGGGAAGAACACCAGUGGCGAAGGCGGCUAUCUGGACCGGUACUGACGCUGAGGUGCGAAAGCGUGGGGAGCAAACAGG
RNAcentral lists this ribosomal RNA (253 nucleotides) under uncultured bacterium. RNAcentral's name for it is "partial 16S ribosomal RNA". It matches the Rfam family "Bacterial small subunit ribosomal RNA", at positions 524 to 776 of the family's 1533-position model. The record is from RNAcentral.